AUUUCCGUCAGACCUAACACCCCUGUGUUAUAUUUUUUCUCAAAAGAUAAUGAUUUCUUACUAACAUUGCUGUUGUUAUUUUUUCUUUUUAUAUAAUCUUGAAUUUUUUAUAAAUUUUCAUAAAUUGACAAUUUCACCACUUUUGGAGACAUGCGGAACGAAAAUGGUAACCCUGAUGGUGGUGAGUAAAUUCUAAAACUGAUAACCCUAUUCAGCUGUUAUUUACAUUUUGAAACGUCAAAAAAAUCUCAAAUCAUAACAAACGCGGCUUCGAUGAUGCAUUUUUUUUCUCAUCACAGCCGUCGGGAUCUAAUUAAGUAUAAAAAUCUAAUCGUUUCACGUAGAAAGUAAAGUUGGCACCAGCCCACGUAUUAAUGGACCGAUUUGUAGAGUUCCAGAAGUGGCAAUCGGCUUUGAACGUCGGAAAAAUGGCUUCCACAGAAGUUGUCCACUGGAGCUCAAACUUUCUGGAUACUAGGGAUCUAAUGUCGAAAAUGCAACUGGAGAUUGGACGAAAGUGGCACGCGAUUAUCGAUUAGUGAUAAACUGAAGCAAUGUGUGGUUCAACGUACCGUUAACCGUCCUGGAGCGUUGCAUAUGGAUCAGGUUAUCGUGCUGCACCUGAUGGGCUAGGAUGCAUUUGGGCUGCCAGCGGAGAAAUCCGCCAUGUACCGGAAGAUUCCGGCGGAUAGAUGGACCUAGAAAAAGUCAGAAUAGACUGCGACGUGCGAUCCAGAGUACUACCAGUAGACCCUAAACUUGUUUCUGAUAUUGUAUAAGGAAUUGAUGAUGAAUUGGCGUAUCAAAAGAAGGCUCAGGAAUCGUAUUGAUUAGACGAUGUUAGCCUAUAAGCAGGUGGAAGACGUGGAGA
Long non-coding RNA from Aedes aegypti (yellow fever mosquito), 871 nucleotides. RefSeq lists it as uncharacterized. NCBI's taxonomy places the organism in Eukaryota, Metazoa, Arthropoda, Insecta, Diptera, Culicidae. The transcript is spliced from 2 exons. The record is from RefSeq and is a predicted model, not a curated record.